CACCGAGGUGCAAGGGCUGUCGCUGACCUUUGAAGGCCGUGCACGCCCGAGCGCUCUCGCCACAAUCCAUCUCACCCCUUUGUGCAUCACCGCGUGGGUCCCCCUUUGCGGGGAGGGCUCGCGUUUUCACACAAAACUUGAUACAGUCUAGAAUGUUUAUUUUUGCGGUAACACGCAAUCAAUACAACUUUCAACAACGGAUCUCUUGGCUCUCGCAUCGAUGAAGAACGCAGCGAAAUGCGAUACGUAAUGUGAAUUGCAGAAUUCAGUGAAUCAUCGAAUCUUUGAACGCACCUUGCGCCCCUUGGCAUUCCGAGGGGCACACCCGUUUGAGUGUCGUGAAAUUCUCAAAAUCCUUUUCUUUGAUCGGAAUAGGACUUUUGGACUUGGAGGUUCAAUGCUCGCUUUCGCCUUUGAAAGCGAGCUCCUCUCNAAAUGNAAUCAGUGGGGGUCCGCUUUGCUGGUCCCUUGACGUGAUAAAGAUGCUUCUACGUUUCGGAUUUGGCAUUGUUUUCUCCGGCUCCUAACUGUC
This 532-nucleotide ribosomal RNA is filed under the name uncultured Russula. RNAcentral's name for it is "eukaryotic LSU rRNA". The stretch from base 186 to 339 matches the Rfam family "5.8S ribosomal RNA". The record is from RNAcentral. Lineage: Eukaryota; Fungi; Basidiomycota; Agaricomycetes; Russulales; Russulaceae.